RNAcentral lists this long non-coding RNA (221 nucleotides) under Physcomitrium patens. RNAcentral describes it as "long non-coding RNA (PPAT_LNC010412)". The record is from RNAcentral. Lineage: Eukaryota; Viridiplantae; Streptophyta; Bryopsida; Funariales; Funariaceae.
AAAAAAGCAUAUGGAUUUUUAUUUCGAGAUGGAUUCUUAUGGAAGAGACCGAAGAAAGGAAUUGGGAUGCCACAACGAGUGAUAGGCAAAAGGAAAGAAAAACUAAAAUUAUUAAAGGAGUUUCAUGAUAGUUUAUAGGCAGGGCAUAGAGGAAUCUGGGCUACUUUUGCUCAACUCAAGGAACGAUAUUGGUGGAAAAAUAUGUAUCGAGAUGUGCUCUC